Phasianus colchicus (ring-necked pheasant) is the source of this 326-nucleotide long non-coding RNA. RefSeq lists it as uncharacterized. The record is from RefSeq and is a predicted model, not a curated record. NCBI's taxonomy places the organism in Eukaryota, Metazoa, Chordata, Aves, Galliformes, Phasianidae.
CGCUGGGAGCCGAGAGCCCGCACGUCGCAGGAGUGAUGGAGCUGCUGGGGAGCGAGGGACGGCGGGGGGGUCACACGCAGGGCUGCGGCGAGACACCCCCAGCCUUCACGUGGGCGGCUCCGAAGCGGGGAGAAAGGGGUCGAGAGCGGCAGCAAGAGUUCAGCAUCAGCGAGAUGAGAGCUUGGUCGAAAGGACACUCCCCAGCACCUUGUCAUCUGAUGAAGAUUGGCACAAGUCACCCAGAGAAGCGGCGGUGCCCCGUCCCUGCAGGCAGCCGAGCUCAGACCGGAUGGGCUGUGAGCACUGCUGGAGCUGUGUGUGUCCCU